CCAGUACACGAUGCGGAUGCCUAUUACUUUGUGAUACACUUUCGAAGAGUCGAGUUGUUUGGGAAUGCAGCUCAAAUUGGGUGGUAAAUUCCAUCUAAAGCUAAAUAUUGGCGAGAGACCGAUAGCGAACAAGUACCGUGAGGGAAAGAUGAAAAGCACUUUGGAAAGAGAGUUAACAGUACGUGAAAUUGUUGGAAGGGAAACACAUGCAGUGAUACUUGCUAUUCGGGGCAACUCGAUUGGCAGGCCCGCAUCAGUUUUUCGGGGCGGAAAAGCAUGGAUUGAAGGUAGCAGUUUCGGCUGUGUUAUAGCUUUCCAUUGGAUUCGCCCUGGGGGACUGAGGAACGCAGCGUGCUUUUAGCAUGAGCUUCGGCUUAUCCACGCUUAGGAUGCGGGUUUAUGGCUGUAUAUGACCCGUCUU
Molecule: ribosomal RNA, 421 nt
Filed under: Sporobolomyces phaffii
Lineage: Eukaryota; Fungi; Basidiomycota; Microbotryomycetes; Sporidiobolales; Sporidiobolaceae
Description: eukaryotic LSU rRNA
Rfam family: Eukaryotic large subunit ribosomal RNA
Source: RNAcentral